CCUACGGGUGGCAGCAGUGGGGAAUAUUGGUCAAUGGGCGCAAGCCUGACCCAGCAACGCCGCGUGAAGGAAGAAGGCUUUCUGGUUUUAAACUUCUUUUUAGAGGGAGGUGCAGAAGACGGUACCUCUUGAAUAAGCCACGUCUAACUACGUGCCAGCAGCCGCGGUAAUACGUAGGUUGCAAGCGUUAUCCGGGUUUACUGGGUGUAAAGGGCGUGCAGCCGGGAAGACAAGUCAGAUGUGAAAUCCCGCGGCUCAACCGCGGAACUGCAUUUGAAACUGUUUUUCUUGAGUACAGGAGAGGUCAUCGGAAUUCCUUGUGUAGCGGUGAAAUGCGUAGAGAUAAGGAAGAACACCAGUGGCGAAGGCAGAUGACUGGACGGCAACUGACGGUGAGGCGCGAAAGCGUGGGGAGCAAACAGGAUUAGAUACCCCUGUAGUC
Molecule: ribosomal RNA, 442 nt
Filed under: uncultured bacterium
Lineage: Bacteria
Description: partial 16S ribosomal RNA
Rfam family: Bacterial small subunit ribosomal RNA
Source: RNAcentral